CCAGCAAAUUCCCUCCAGGCGCGAAAGAAGGAUUUGGCGUUUGCUUAAGCCCUAGUGGAGGGGUGUAUGCGUAAUGCAUGGAGAUCUGGACACCUUCUACCAAACAAUCCAACACAUGGGGAAAUUGAACGGCAUCAAAAUCUACCUUCUCCUCUGUUGCAGCGAUUUCCAGAUUCGGGAAAGAACUCUUGGAAUUGAAAGUAAAGCAGCUGCUCAGCCACUGGAAAAAUUGAGACUUCCUUAUCUGUUUUGCGCUAACUUGCACUGCAAAUUAGCUGCUCUUAUUCAACAUGGGGAAAGUGGCCCGUUGACAAAAUUUCUUGCACUUGAAAGUGUCUUUCAAGGCUCAAAUUUUUGGAGUGGUACGCAGGAUUGCUGACAAUGGGUUAGGAGCAGGUGCAAGCAAGAGGGGUCAAACCUUUUGAAUUGCACAGAGUGUUCCUUCUUUUGAUCCCAGCCAACUUGACUCUAACGAUUCCUUUGUUGGAACCCUCAAACAGAGUCUUUGUUACAGCUUUUGGAACUUCCUUAUCCUCUUGACAGUGUAUCAGAAUCAAGAGGACCAACUCAUGGUCUGGUCCUGCCCCACUAAUUCAGGUUCUUCUGCUGAGGAUAAUGAAGAAAUUCCCAUAGAUGAUGUGGAUUAGGGAGUGAGGAGGAUCUAGAGAUGCGCAAGGAGAUGUUUCACCAAAUUCACCUGCCAGGUGAUGGUUGAUGGAACCCACAGGGAGACUGAAAUCGUGUUGGAGGCAUUGUAUUUAUGGUCCUGUGCGGAUGAUGAUUUUGUUAUGGAUGAAAAGCAGCAACUCAAGAUGAUGAAUGCUGUGGGUCUUUCAGAAGGAAUGCGAGUUUUUCAUUGAUUAGAAUGUUAUUUCCCUGUAAGUACCAUUAAGUGUUCAUAUUUAUGUUAUGUGAUUCAAAGUGAUAAAUGGUACCAAUAAAUAAAGUAAAAAUUUGACUUGUUAAUGAUACUGACAGCUCUGGCUUA
This is an RNA transcript of Hevea brasiliensis (rubber tree), 988 nucleotides long. RefSeq lists it as uncharacterized. The record is from RefSeq and is a predicted model, not a curated record. Lineage: Eukaryota; Viridiplantae; Streptophyta; Magnoliopsida; Malpighiales; Euphorbiaceae. The transcript has 6 exons.